This 254-nucleotide ribosomal RNA is filed under the name uncultured bacterium. Its description in RNAcentral is "partial 16S ribosomal RNA". It matches the Rfam family "Bacterial small subunit ribosomal RNA", at positions 524 to 776 of the family's 1533-position model. The record is from RNAcentral.
UACGGGGGGAGCAAGCGUUGUUCGGAUUUACUGGGCGUAAAGGGCGCGUAGGCGGUCAGCACAAGUCAGUUGUGAAAUCUCCGGGCUUAACCCGGAAAGGUCAACUGAUACUGUGCGACUAGAGUGCGGAAGGGGCAACUGGAAUUCUCGGUGUAGCGGUGAAAUGCGCAGAUAUCAGGAGGAACACCGGUGGCGAAGGCGGGUCGCUGGGCCGAUACUGACACUGAGGAGCGAAAGCGUGGGGAGCGAACAGG